RNAcentral lists this ribosomal RNA (497 nucleotides) under uncultured bacterium. RNAcentral describes it as "partial 16S ribosomal RNA". It matches the Rfam family "Bacterial small subunit ribosomal RNA", at positions 28 to 507 of the family's 1533-position model. The record is from RNAcentral.
GACGAACGCUGGCGGCGUGCCUAAUACAUGCAAGUUGAGCGCUGAAGGUUGGUACUUGUACCGACUGGAUGAGCAGCGAACGGGUGAGUAACGCGUGGGGAAUCUGCCUUUGAGCGGGGGACAACAUUUGGAAACGAAUGCUAAUACCGCAUAAAAACUUUAAACACAAGUUUUAAGUUUGAAAGAUGCAAUUGCAUCACUCAAAGAUGAUCCCGCGUUGUAUUAGCUAGUUGGUGAGGUAAAGGCUCACCAAGGCGAUGAUACAUAGCCGACCUGAGAGGGUGAUCGGCCACAUUGGGACUGAGACACGGCCCAAACUCCUACGGGAGGCAGCAGUAGGGAAUCUUCGGCAAUGGACGAAAGUCUGAACGAGCAACGCCGCGUGAGUGAAGAAGGUUUUCGGAUCGUAAAACUCUGUUGGUAGAGAAGAACGUUGGUGAGAGUGGAAAGCUCAUCAAGUGACGGUAACUACACAGAAAGGGACGGCUAACUACGUG